AUUGAACGCUGGCGGCAUGCCUAACACAUGCAAGUCGAGCGGUCGACGGGAGGUUGCUCCCUGAGUCAGCGGCGGACGGGUGAGCAAUGCCCAGGUAUCUGCCUAUGAGUGGGGGACAACGGUUCGAACGGAACGCUAAUACCGCAUACGGCCUACGGGGAAAUGCCGGGGGCCUUCGCGUCUUGGGCUAAUAGAUGAGCCUAGGUCGGAUUAGUUUGUUGGUGAGGUGAUGGCUCACCAAGGCGACGAUCCGUAACUGGUCUGAGAGGAUGAUCAGGCACACUGGAACUGAGACACGGUCCAGACUCCUACGGGAGGCAGCAGUGGGGAAUAUUGGACAAUGGGCGAAAGCCUGAUCCAGCCAUGCCGCGUGUGUGAAGAAGGUCUUCGGAUUGUAAAGCACUUUAAGUUGGGAGGAAGGGUUGUAGAUUAAUACUCUGCAAUUUUGACGUUACCGACAGAAUAAGCACCGGCUAACUCUGUGCCAGCCGCCGCCGUAA
RNAcentral lists this ribosomal RNA (500 nucleotides) under uncultured bacterium. RNAcentral describes it as "partial 16S ribosomal RNA". It matches the Rfam family "Bacterial small subunit ribosomal RNA", at positions 30 to 523 of the family's 1533-position model. The record is from RNAcentral.